CUCUUUGCACCUGAAGAACAUUUUCGUCCCCUCCUCCUUUAGUCGGUUCUGUGAAUCUCGAACUCGGUUUUCCUCCGCCUAUAUCGUUCGGUUCUACGGCGGUUAUCCCGGCGGCGAAGCUAAUUCACGGUAACGAAGAUGUUGGGUGCAACACCCAUAUUGCCACUUGAAGCUCCUCCUGCUGAUAUCAGAAAUAUCGUCGAUAAAACAGCUCAGUUCGUCGCUAAAAAUGGGCCAGAGUUUGAGAAGAGGAUUAUAGCUAGCAAUGCCAACAAUGCUACAUUCAACUUUUUGAGCGAGUCAGACCCAUAUCACGCCUAUUAUGAGCAUAAACUGUCUGAGUUUCGUGCUCAGAAUCAAGUUUCGGCUGAGCAGCCUGGUGAAUCGGCUGAGGGAGUGGGCAUUAUAUAAAGGCCUAAAGGACUGAAAGAACUUGAACGAAGUUAAAUUACAAAAUGUAUUUUUGUAUUAUUUGCAUCAAUAUUAGAAAAUAAAUUAAUCCUU
Long non-coding RNA from Tarenaya hassleriana, 504 nucleotides. RefSeq lists it as uncharacterized. The record is from RefSeq and is a predicted model, not a curated record. The transcript is spliced from 2 exons. NCBI's taxonomy places the organism in Eukaryota, Viridiplantae, Streptophyta, Magnoliopsida, Brassicales, Cleomaceae.